RNAcentral lists this unclassified non-coding RNA (4441 nucleotides) under Dimorphilus gyrociliatus. RNAcentral's name for it is "bromo domain-containing protein". The record is from RNAcentral. Lineage: Eukaryota; Metazoa; Annelida; Polychaeta; Dinophilidae.
AUAAAGGCGAUCGCGCCGUAGCACAUACGCGAGAAUUCGCGGCUUGGCUUUUUUCUAAGAAGAAAUUCGGACUAUGAUUUCAGAAAUAAUAACUUUCUUUUAAGUUAAUUUUUUUCCUACUAUUUUUUCGUUGAUUACAAAAUAACAAGCUUCUUACGUUAUUUGUAUUACCGAAUAUUUUAAGAAAGUCAUGCCUUCAGAUUCAGAGGGAAAUCACAAUAAUUCAAGUGAUUUUAUCUAUCUGAGAAAGAGUAAGAUUUCGAAAAGUAAUCCAAAUUUGUCAAAAUUACAAGUCAAUCAAUUACAAGGAAAGACGAUGGACAGUUCUGGCGAUGAAGAUCACGAAAAUAAAUUUUCUCCAAGGAAACUUAGAACAAGGGGCAAUCUAAGCUCUAACUCAACUGCUCGUUACGGUAGCGGCUCGCAUUCGGAUGAUGGUGGUUAUAGACGAUCCAGUCUAAAACGGAAUAAAUUACUUCAUUUGGAUACUGGAUCGGAAUCGGAAAAAGACGCUGAUUAUUCUAUUAAGAAAACUAGAACGAACAAAUUGUCAGAAUCAAAAAUAUUGAAUUCUUGUAAGCAAGUCCGAAAGCGAAGUUCUUAUGAGGAAUCUCUUUACUUCCGUAGUAAUAUACGACAUUCCUCACCGAUGUACAUACGUCGAAGUAGUCGAAACAAAAAGGCUGUUUACUCAACUUUAAAUCAGUCAUUGAUUGGAGAUCCAGGAAUUUCAGAUUAUGAAACUAAGCAUAAGAGAGCAAGAAGCUCAGAUGAAGAUAAUAUGUUUAGGGGUUACGGAUUGAGGAAGAGAAUAAAAAGAGAUAUGUAUGGACUACCUGUCAAUUUUAACGAUGAAUAUGACGAUGAAAAUGGUGCAGCUGCUAACAUAAGCUCAAGGUCAUUACGAUUGAAGAAAAGAGAAGAAAGAAGAAAAGAGGUAGAAAUUGUAAACAAUUCAAAUGUAGAUCAAAAUGAUGAAGUGGUAGAAGACAACGAUAAAGAGAAAGACGAUGAAGAAUUAGAAGAAGACGAUGAUGAAGCGGGAGAAGUUAAAAAGAAAAAGUCUGAAAGAGUAGUAGAAAAUAUUGAAGUCGGUGGAGAGGAGGAGGAGGAGGAGGAAGAAGAAGAAGAAGAAGAAGAAGUAGAAGAUGAAGAAGAAGGCGAUGAUAAUAACAAGUCUCUAGGCGAUAUAAAACCACGACAAUAUUUCCUGAGAGAACGACGACAAACUGAAGAAAUUGAAUCGCAUCGUAAAACUCCCAAUUUACGAAGACGGAAAAAUGGAAUGAAGGAUUCGGUAUAUUACAAUUCCCCAGCAGUCCGAAGACAUAAAAGUCACCGUCAAUUACGAGAUAGGAAGAACAUUGACUUUCGUCAUUUUUUUAAUCCUACGUCUACACCUUCUUCAAUAUCAAAGCACCACCAUUCAGCGCAUCAUAGUUCGUCUAAUACUUCUAGUGAAACAGAUGAUGAUAGAGAGUUUGAAAGAAGGAAAGCAAAAAGUAUGGCAAGAGCAAGAAAUAGAUGUUUGCCAAUGAAUUUCAAACAAGCAGAUAUCACUUCAGUCGUCAUGAAAUCGCGUGUAAGGAUUGGCUCUUCCUUGGCAGAUGUUAAUCCGAUGAACAUAGAUAAAGAUGUUUCUUUCGAACAAGUUAAAGGAUUAUCAAAAUAUAUUCAACAUUUGAAAGAAAUGAUUUUAUUCCCAUUGUUAUAUCCUGAAUUCUUUGAAACUUUUGGUACUGAAUCUCCUAAAGGUGUACUAUUCUAUGGUCCUCCUGGAACUGGAAAAACUUUAGUUGCUAGAGCCUUAGCAAAUGAAUGCUCAAAACCAGGAAAAAAGGUUGCCUUUUUCAUGAGAAAAGGUGCCGAUUGUCUCAGUAAAUGGGUUGGAGAGAGUGAAAGGCAGUUACGAUUAUUAUUUGAUCAGGCAUAUCAGAUGAGGCCCUCCAUUAUAUUUUUUGAUGAGAUUGAUGGUUUGGCUCCUGUGCGUUCUUCGAAACAAGACCAAAUACACUCAUCCAUAGUUUCAACUCUUUUAGCAUUGAUGGAUGGAUUGGAUUCACGUGGCGAGAUUGUUAUUAUUGGGGCGACUAAUAGAAUAGAUUCCAUUGACCCCGCACUUAGGCGUCCUGGUAGAUUUGAUCGAGAAUUUCAUUUUCCACUGCCAGCUUUCAAAGCUCGUAAGGACAUUCUAAAGGUUCACACUUGCAAAUGGGAGCCAAAAAUUAGCGACUCGUUUCUCAUGCAAAUUGCUGCAAAAAGUCACGGCUUUAGUGGAGCCGAUCUAAAGGCUGUUUGUACCGAAGCUUCUUUGAGGGCUCUUAAGAGAACCUUUCCUCAAGUUUAUAACUCUCACGAAAAAUUGGCAUUGGAUGUUAAAGGAAUCAGAGUUGACGCAUCUGACUUUGCUAAUGCUUUAAAGUCGAUUGUCCCAACAAGUGCCCGAUCUGUUCAACCUGUCGGCAGAAAUCUACCUGGGAGAGUGAGGGCUAUUUUACAAGAUUCAGUAGAUCAUGUUUUGAAUAAGAUCAGAUAUGUAUUUCCUGAAGAAGUCACUAAGAACAAGUUGUAUGAUGAAAGUGAUGAUGAAAUGGUGGUAGUUGGCACUGGUAUACUGAUUUUCAUUUUUUUUACAUAUGGACUAAAUAAUAUUUUUGCAGGAAAUAUUUAUGAGGAUGAGCCUAACUGUAUUCAACACUUAGAAUCUACCUUGGAUCGAUUAACAUGUAUUUACAGACCGAGAGUACUUGUCACGGGUAAAGAAGGGAGCGGUUUAUACACAUACAUAGCUCCAGCUAUUCUAAACGCUUUAGAACUGCCAGUUUAUACAAUAGAUAUACUAGCUCUGAGUCAUGAUAAUUAUAGAACCCCAGAAGACGCUUGUGGUCAUAUCAUAAAACAAGCCAAAAGUACCUGCCCUUCUGUUGUCUAUUUACCAAAAGUCAACGAAUUUUGGGAUUUGUUAACGGAAUCAACAAAAUUAACAUUUCUAAAUUUAAUCAGGGAUUUAGAUCCGUCUCUUCCUGUUCUUAUUUUUGCCACUAAUUCUGAUGACGGGGAUAUUAUCGAGGAACUCUUUACAACGACUGAAAGUCGUAUAAAAUUGCCUAUAAUCUCUUCAGAAAAAAUACGUUUAUAUUUCUCAUCUUUGAUUAUGAAUGAAAUCCUACAGAUUCCUCCCACAAAAAUUAGUAAAAGCAGUUUACAGCCUCUUCCUCCAGUUCCAAUAAAUGAACAUAAGCAGUUAACUGAAAAAGAAUUGCGUAUGGUUCUUAAGCAAGAAGAAUCUGUUCUUCGAGAGCUGCGAUUAUUUUUAAGGGAUGUUAUAAAUAAGCUAUCUCGCGAUCGAAAGUUUAACGUCUUUACAAAACCGGUGGACAAAGAAGAAGUACCAGACUAUUAUGAUAUUAUAGAGCAUCCUAUGGACUUGAGCAAGAUGAUGUCAAAGAUAGAUAGAGAGGAAUAUAAAACUGUAAAGCAAUUUUUGGAAGAUAUAGAUUUAAUAUGCUUUAAUGCUUUAGAGUAUAAUCCCCCGUUGGAUGCCCAAAGUCGAUCUAUUAGGCAUCGAGCUUGUGCUUUAAAAGAUACAGCUAGAGGUAUCCUAGAAGCUGAUUUAGCAUCAGAUUUCGAGAAAAUGUGCGAUGAUAUUUACGAAGCAAGACAACAGAGGGAAAGUGAAGAAAAAAAGCAAGCACCUCAUGUAAUUAUUAACGAAGUUGACAACGAAAAAGAAGAAAGAGAUCAAGAAAGAGAUCAAGAAAAGGAAAAAGAAAAGAAAAGACACUCCUCUUCUCCUCUUAAUAAAUCGCCAGGGCGAAGUUCGCCCCAACGUACUCAUAAUCUUAAUAGUAAUUUAGUAUCAUUCGAUGAUAUACCAGAAUGUAUUCCUCAGCCAUCUCCUGGUCAUAAAAUUUUUAUGAAGCGAGUCAGGAAAGCUAGAUCAUCGAAACAUGUUCUCUCGCCUUUUUGUAAACCAACUAAAAUUAAGUAUGUUAAAGUUUUCAUUAAAACUGAUGAGAAUGGAAUAGAAAUUGCAAGAUAUGAUAAGCAUGGAAAAGAAAUUGAAACUGUCAAAUUAAAUGAUCAUUGUAACGUUGAGGAAGAGGUUAUGGAUGGUAUUGAAGAUGAGAGCCUAGAGAAAGAAGAAAUAAUAAAAAAAGAAGAGGUUAUUGAAAAUUCUCGUCAUGAGAAUGUAAUGGAAGUUUCUGAAAAGGAGCAGGAGGUCGAAAAGAAAUUGGAUAUCUGUAAGAGUGAGUUAGAAGUUAUUCUUGAAGAAUGCGUUCAAAUAUGUUCAGGGAAAAAUGUUGAAGAAAUAGAGUAUUUAUAUUCCAAUCUUGCCAGAGUAGCUAGACAUUAUGUGGAUAAAUGGGAAAGAAAACAGUUAAUUCAGGAACUGCAGUGUGUAUUAGCUAUGGAAAAUAAUAAACACAAAAAUUGGUAG